RNAcentral lists this ribosomal RNA (497 nucleotides) under uncultured bacterium. RNAcentral's name for it is "partial 16S ribosomal RNA". It matches the Rfam family "Bacterial small subunit ribosomal RNA", at positions 28 to 507 of the family's 1533-position model. The record is from RNAcentral.
GAUGAACGCUGGCGGCGUGCCUAAUACAUGCAAGUCGAGCGAACGGACGGGAAGCUAGCUUCUCUGAUGUUAGCGGCGGACGGGUGAGUAACACGUGGAUAACCUACCUAUAAGACUGGGAUAACUUCGGGAAACCGGAGCUAAUACCGGAUAAUAUUUUGAACCGCAUGGUUCAAAAGUGAAAGACGGUCUUGCUGUCACUUAUAGAUGGAUCCGCGCUGCAUUAGCUAGUUGGUAAGGUAACGGCUUACCAAGGCAACGAUGCAUAGCCGACCUGAGAGGGUGAUCGGCCACACUGGAACUGAGACACGGUCCAGACUCCUACGGGAGGCAGCAGUAGGGAAUCUUCCGCAAUGGGCGAAAGCCUGACGGAGCAACGCCGCGUGAGUGAUGAAGGUCUUCGGAUCGUAAAACUCUGUUAUUAGGGAAGAACAUAUGUGUAAGUAACUGUGCACAUCUUGACGGUACCUAAUCAGAAAGCCACGGCUAACUACGUG